GGUAAGCUCGCCGGGAUGCCCUUGGUGGAGUAACAUACGGUGAAGUAAAGCUCACACAUGUUGUAAAGUCUGUCAUGCCUGUUCUCAUACACGAAACUAUUUCACUGAGGAGGAGAGAGCAGUUCACUGCCACAUGCUUCGUCCUGAGAUCCAUAAAAACUACCUUCUCUGUGUUGUGGCUUUCAGUGAUGGGGGUUUAACUUGUCUAGGUCCAGACACGGAUAUCGAGAACUUGCUGAAACCACCAAACUUUAAGUACAAAGUACACAUGCUAAACACAAGCCACAAACCACCGCCAGACAAGAGCUUAGAGUAAGCACCAGUAUUAUAAAGACCUACAGAGGCCAAGGCAGGAAGAUGGCUUGAGCUGAGGAGUUCAAGGCUGAAGUGAGCUAUCUCAGUGCGCCACGAAUUCCAUCCUGGGUGACAGAAUGAGACUCCAUCUCCACAAGAAGACCUAUGGAAAAUUACGUUCAUAUAGGGGUAUGUGAGAGAGAGACAUGGCAGUGAGGCCCAGUUAACAUUCUGCUCUAGCCAGUGACUCAUCUGAAAUUAGAAUGAUGGUGAUUAGUCAACCCGGAGGGAGGGGGUGUAUUAAAAUGUCACCUUCUUUUAUUACCUUUAGCCUUAUCGUGGCUUUAUUUAAAAAGUAAUAAAAUUUCUGCCCAGAA
This 671-nucleotide long non-coding RNA is filed under the name Homo sapiens (human). Its description in RNAcentral is "long non-coding RNA NONHSAT217727". The record is from RNAcentral. Lineage: Eukaryota; Metazoa; Chordata; Mammalia; Primates; Hominidae.